Molecule: small RNA, 540 nt
Filed under: Pongo abelii (Sumatran orangutan)
Lineage: Eukaryota; Metazoa; Chordata; Mammalia; Primates; Hominidae
Description: retained intron
Source: RNAcentral
CUGGGCUCAAGUGAUCCUCACACCUCGGCCUCCCAAAGUGUUGGGAUUGCAGGUGUGAACUACCCCGCCCAGCCUAGGCCCACUUUUAAAAUGUUAAUUAAGAAGAAAACAUUUUUUCCUCACCAUAACUAAAGGAACUGACAACAUGAGCCUAGUUAGUAAUAACUUAAAGUUGAGAUUGUUUUAACUAUCAUAAAUAAUUUCUUUUCAAGAAGAUAUAAUACAAGUUUUCUAUUUAUAAAUUUUUAUAGAGUAACAUGUUAGUGACUAGCCUGAAUAAAUAAGUUCCAAAAGGUUAGUUUUAAUGAUAAUUUCUUAUCUUACAGGUGAAACAUCCGGUUACUGGGCAAUCUCUAUAUCAGGACAGCAACUGGGCCAGCAAAGUUGAGAAACUCACUUUAGACAAUGCUGCUUUCCCUUUCCUUGCAUAUUCUGGAAUCCCAGCAGUUUCUUUCUGUUUUUGUGAGGUAAGUCUGUUCAUUUAAAUGACAAAUGGAGAGAGGCUCUCUAAAAGGAAGUGAUCUUUAUUUGGGAAUAGGG